AUGAACGCUGGCGGCGUGCCUAAUACAUGCAAGUCGAGCGAACAGACGAGGAGCUUGCUCCUCUGACGUUCGCGGCGGACGGGUGAGUAACACGUGGAUAACCUACCUAUAAGACUGGGAUAACUUCGGGAAACCGGAGCUAAUACCGGAUAAUAUAUUGAACCGCAUGGUUCCAUAGUGAAAGACGGUUUUGCUGUCACUUAUAGAUGGAUCCGCGCCGCAUUAGCUAGUUGGUAAGAUAACGGCUUACCAAGGCAACGAUGCGUAGCCGACCUGAGAGGGUGAUCGGCCACACUGGAACUGAGACACGGUCCAGACUCCUACGGGAGGCAGCAGUAGGGAAUCUUCCGCAAUGGGCGAAAGCUUGACGGAGCAACGCCGCGUGAGUGAUGAAGGUCUUCGGAUCGUAAAACUCUGUUAUUAGGGAAGAACAAAUGUGUAAGUAACUAUGCACGUCUUGACGGUACCUAAUCAGAAAGCCACGGCUAACUACGUG
This 496-nucleotide ribosomal RNA is filed under the name uncultured bacterium. RNAcentral describes it as "partial 16S ribosomal RNA". It matches the Rfam family "Bacterial small subunit ribosomal RNA", at positions 29 to 507 of the family's 1533-position model. The record is from RNAcentral.